CGGCGCAGCAGGGUGCGGGAACACCCGGCAGCGCCUAACCAAAACCGCCUACACAGGAGGCAAGCAUGGCUUU
Molecule: antisense RNA, 73 nt
Filed under: Gulbenkiania mobilis
Lineage: Bacteria; Pseudomonadati; Pseudomonadota; Betaproteobacteria; Neisseriales; Chromobacteriaceae
Description: R1162-like plasmid antisense RNA
Rfam family: R1162-like plasmid antisense RNA
About the family: The copy-number of the broad host-range plasmid R1162 is controlled by the amounts of two proteins, encoded by cotranscribed genes comprising a region of the plasmid called RepI.
Source: RNAcentral